AAAUCUAUUGGGACGGUUCAGAUUCCUUCCUUAUUUUCCCCCUUUUAUUUUUUGCUGAACCCUAACCUUUUGAGUGCAUUUUUGUUUUCUUUUUAAUUGCUAAUAUUUCUUAGCCUAAAGAGAGACAAAGUAGUACUUUGAGACAUAAUGUUGCUAAGUCCAAAUCGAUAGUUGAAUCCAAAACAUAUCAUCUUGAUAUAACACUCCUAAAGAAGAAUCCAUCGUUUUUAAGCGACAGUAUGGAGGUUUAUUUUGCGUAUGGAGGUCGUAAAUCUGGACUUUAAAGAACAUAUCUUUUUAUUCUACCCGCUAGGUCUCAUUUCACCAGUGAAGGUCGCCGAUCUGAGCUCCCAAUGAAUUCAUUAUUUUCUUCCACAACUAGGUCUAUUAUCGAGCAAAGUCAAACGCAUUUCACAUUUAGUUCCUUUCGGGUGGACGAAGAACGUAAAAGUUUAGUGAACGCACAACGUGCUCUUAGGAAAUGGCAUGACUCAAAUAGCUAUUGGCCUACUGCUCGCUGCACCGAGAAGCAUAACUUAUUAGUUGCUGCUAUAAAUACCACGGUGUUUAGUGUCAUGAGCUACAUCCCGCAAAUAGCUGUUAAAGAAAUCUCCAGGGCAUAUAAAAGAGGUUUGGUCACGGCAGAAAAAGGAGGAAGAUGCUUCUGAUUUAAGGUGAAUGAAGGAGUUUGGAAUGAUUACAUGUAGUUGUUGCGGUCCCAAUGAAUUGGUGUGCUCAGACUUUUAACUUCCUAAAAAAGUUUAGUACUACUUUGUGACUUGGUAACUCUUUUCUGAAAAUUAGUAAUCCAAAUUUCACCAAAAAUAUGGUAAAUUUUAAGUCUGGUUUCUAACUUGUAGUUCUUUCUAUACUUUUGUGUACAACAUCAUAAGCAAUAAUGGAAUCAGAUGCUAUCGAAUUUCUACUAAGACUUUUUGAUAGCAAACAGUCACAACCAAUAGUGCAAGAAUCUGCAGCUAAGGUUAUUUUACAGAGGUUACCUGCUGGCCAUUUGCAUAAUUUUGGAUUCAACAUUAUCUCGAAGGUAAAACAAAUAAUCAACAAGUUGAUGAAAGCCAUGAAGACCUUACUUAAGAGUAUUGGUUGAUCAUUCCUAGACUUUCAAAUGUUUUAGGAAUCUUUUAAUUCAGAACUCUUAGAAACCUCAUACGAAACUCUUCAAUUGUCAAACAAUAUUGCAUUUGUUGUUUUUAUAAAUGGAUAAUGUUUGUUGUAUUUUUCGGAU
Molecule: long non-coding RNA, 1246 nt
Organism: Nicotiana tabacum (common tobacco)
Lineage: Eukaryota; Viridiplantae; Streptophyta; Magnoliopsida; Solanales; Solanaceae
Source: RefSeq, a predicted model, not a curated record